CUCCACCAGUGUCACCUCCAGCGCUGUCACCUCCACCAAUGUCACCCCCACUGGUGUCACCACCACCGAUGUCACCUCCACUGGUGUCACCUCCACCGAUGUCACCUCCACCGCUCCAGCCACCACCUCAGCAGGGACCUCCACUGUCUCUUCUGCUACUGAGGGAACCCCAACUGCUGUCACCUCCACCAGUGUCACCCCCACUGAUGUCACCUCCACUGCUCCUGCCACCACCUCAGGAGGAUCCUCUGCUGUCUCCUCUUCUACUGAGGGAACCACCACUGCUGUCACCUCCACUGGUGGCACCACCACAGAUGUCACCUCCACCAGUGUCACCCCCACAUCAUCUCCCACUGCCUCAGGAGCGUCCUCUACAGCCUCUUCCACAACCCUGCAAGGACCCUCCACCGAUGUCACCUCCACUGCUGUCACCUCCACCAGUGUCACCUCCGCUGAUGUCACCUCCACUGCUGUCACCCCCACAGCAUCUCCCACUGCCUCAGCAGCAUCCUCUACAGCCUCUACUACAACCCUGCUAGGACCCUCCACUGGUGUCACCUCCUCCGAUGUCACCUCCACUGUUCCUGCCACCACCUCAGGAGGAUCCUCCGCUGUCUCCUCUACUACUGAGGGAACCUCCACCAGUGUCACCUCCAUAGAUGUCACCUCCACGGGUGUCACCCCCACCGCUGUCACCUCCACCAGUGUCACCUCCACCAGUGUCACCUCCACCAGUGUCACCUCCACUGCUCCUGCCACCAGCUCAGGAGGAUCGUCCGCUGUCUCCUCUACUACUGAGGGAACCCCCAGUGGUGUCACCUCCACUGCUGUCACCUCCACCGGUGUCACCUCCACCAGUGUCACCUCCACUGCUCCUGCCACCAUCUCAGGACAGAACCCCGCUGUCUCCUCUACUACUGAGGGAACCUCCACCAGUGUCACCUCCACUGGUGUCACCUCCACCAGUGUCACCUCCAUCAGUGUCACCUCCUCCGAUGUCACCUCCACCGCUCCUGCAACCAGCUCAGGAGGGACUUCCGCUGUCUCCUCUUCUACUGAGGGAACCACCACUACUGUUUCCUCCGCCGUUGUCACCUCCACUGGUGUCACCCCCACUGGUGUCACCACCACCGAUGUCACCUCCAUCAGUGUCACCCCCACCGAUGUCACCUCCACUGCUCCUGCCACCACCUCAACAGAGACCUCUGCUGUCUCCUCUACUACUGACGGAACCUCCACCAGUGUCACCUCCACUGGUGUCACCACCACUGGUGUCACCUCCUCUGAUGUCACCUCCACUGCUCCUGCCACCACCUCAGCAGGGACCUCCACUGUCUCCUCUACUACUGAGGGAACCACCACUGCUGUCACCUCCACUGGUGUCACCUCCACCAGUGUCACCCCCACCGGUGUCACCUCCACUGCUCCUGCCACCACCUCAGUAAUGACCUCCACUGUCUCCUCUACUACUGAGGGAACCUCCACCAGUGUCACCUCCACUGGUGGUACCUCCUCCGAUGUCACCUCCACAAGUGUCACCUCCACUGCUCCUGCCACCACCUCAGCAGGGACCUCCACUGUCUCCUCUACUACUGAGGGAACCCCCACCACUGUCACCUCCACAGACGUCACCUCCAUCAGUGUCACCUCCACUGGUGUCACCUCCACAGAUGGCUCCUCCACUGGUGGCACCACCACGGAUGUCACCUCCACUGGUGUCACCUCCACCGGUGUCACCCCCACUGAUGUCACCUCCACUGCUCCUGCCACCACCUCAGGAGGAUCCUCCGCUGUCUCCUCUACUACUGAGGGAACCACCACUGCUGUCACCUCCAUCGCUGUCACCUCCACGGGUGUCACCACCACGGAUGGCACCUCCACAGAUGUCACCUCCAGCAAUGUCACCUCCACUGGUGUCCCCCCCACCGAUGUCACCUCCACUGCGCCUGCCACCACCUCAGCAGGGACCUCCGCUGUCUCCUCUACUACUGAGGGAACCUCCACCAGUGUCACCUCCACCAGCGUCACCUCCACCGAUGUCACCUCCACCGGUGUCACCUCUACUGCUGUCACCUCCACUGCUUCUGCCACCACCUCAGCAGGGACCUCCAUUGUCUCCUCUACUACUGAGGGAACCCCCACCACUGUCACCUCCACAGAUGUCACCUCCACCAGUGUCACCUCCACUGGUGUCACCUCC
Molecule: long non-coding RNA, 2200 nt
Organism: Numida meleagris (helmeted guineafowl)
Lineage: Eukaryota; Metazoa; Chordata; Aves; Galliformes; Numididae
Source: Ensembl